CAAUAGCGUAUAUUUAAGUCGUUGCAGUUAAAAAGCUCGUAGUCGGAUUUUGGCUGAGAACGAUCGGUCCGCCGUUAGGUGUGCACUGAUUGGUCUCAGCUUCCGGGUGAGGAGGUGUGCUUCACGGCCACUUAGUCACCGUGGUUACUUUGAAAAAAUUAGAGUGUUCAAAGCGGGCUUACGCUUGAAUAUAUUAGCAUGGAAUAACACCAUAGGACUCCUGUCCUAUUUCGUUGGUCACGGGACGGGAGUAAUGAUUAAGAGGAACAGUUGGGGGCAUUCGUAUUUCAUUGUCAGAGGUGAAAUUCUUGGAUUUAUGAAAGACGAACUUCUGCGAAAGCAUUUGCCAAGGAUGUUUUCAUUGA
This 365-nucleotide ribosomal RNA is filed under the name uncultured eukaryote. RNAcentral describes it as "partial 18S ribosomal RNA". It matches the Rfam family "Eukaryotic small subunit ribosomal RNA", at positions 592 to 976 of the family's 1831-position model. The record is from RNAcentral.